This 278-nucleotide ribosomal RNA is filed under the name uncultured prokaryote. Its description in RNAcentral is "partial 16S ribosomal RNA". It matches the Rfam family "Bacterial small subunit ribosomal RNA", at positions 524 to 800 of the family's 1533-position model. The record is from RNAcentral.
UACGAGGGCCCCAAGCAUUAUCCGGAUUUAUUGGGCGUAAAGCGUCCGUAGGCGGUUUGUCGCAUCUCCUGUUAAAUCCUCUGGCUUAACCAGGGGGCUGCGGGAGAGAUGGAUAAACUAGAGACUGGAAGAGGCAAGCGGAAUUGCUGGUGUAGGGGUUAAAUCCGUUAAUAUCAGCAGGAACACUCAAUGCGAAAGCAACUUGCUGGGACAGUUCUGACGUUCAUGGACGAAAGCGUGGGGAGCGAAUGGGAUUAGAUACCCCCCGUAGUCCCUGA